Molecule: long non-coding RNA, 559 nt
Filed under: Ananas comosus (pineapple)
Lineage: Eukaryota; Viridiplantae; Streptophyta; Magnoliopsida; Poales; Bromeliaceae
Description: long non-coding RNA (ACOM_LNC022875)
Source: RNAcentral
CCUCUCUCUCUCUCUCUCUCUCUCUCUCUCUCUCUCUCUAUAUAUAUAUAUAUAUAUAAAUAUAAUAUAAAGUUUGGCAACGGUCAAUGAUAGAACUUUCGAAUCGACGAUUCAUACCGUUAAAUAUUAUUUAUAAUAUUUAAAAUUUUUAAAAAUUAAAUUUUAUAAUUUUUUGACAUCAUUAUCUUAUGAUAAAAAAGAUCACAAAAUUGACAACUUUUAACUGCCGGUAUAAAAUAUUAGCUAGCUUAACGGUGUAAAAGAAUUAGAAUAGCUUGAAUUUUUUAUAGAAAAUUCUAUUCACUAGCCAAAUAAAAAUUAAUAAUUCCGGUCUUAAAUUGAAGGUUUCGAUCAUUUUUUUUAGAAUGUCGUUCGAUUUUGACCGUUUAUUUUAUGUUCGUUAAUUUUUUAAAAUUUUUAAAUACUCUAUAUUAUAUUUAACGGAGUGGAUCGUCGAUUUAGAAACUCUAUCAUCAAAAAUAAUUUAUACGAAUAAAGCACCAUAUAUUUAUAAAAGUAUAGUAGCUGAAUUUUAUAUAUAUAUAUAUAUAUAUAUAUU